AGCGCUUUUUUUGCAUUUAGCCCCUCACGAUUUUCUUUCACCAAUAGCCCAAUGAAAGUUAUAAUUACAAAAUUGGCCCUAUCCUCACCACGCAAACGCCACAUCAGCGGCUGACCAGCAUAAGUUGAACACAGUGAAUUAUUCAUCAUGUUUAGAUACGAUGAAUGGUUCAUCAUAUUUAAACUAAACUGCACUGCGAGACUGUUUAAGUUUUCUGCACUGUGAGGCUUGGCUACUGUUUAGCUCGUCCAAACAUGGUGAAUGAAUACGAUGAAUCAUUUACCGUGUUCAACUUAACUCUCCACAGUCGCUGACAUGACGCUUACAUGAUACUUGCGUAGCAGGGAUAGGGCCAGUUUUAUAAUUAUAAAUUUCGUAGGGUUAUUUAUGAAAAAAAUUUAAGAGGAAGCUAAAUGCAAAAAAAA
RNAcentral lists this long non-coding RNA (425 nucleotides) under Ananas comosus (pineapple). RNAcentral's name for it is "long non-coding RNA (ACOM_LNC035895)". The record is from RNAcentral. Lineage: Eukaryota; Viridiplantae; Streptophyta; Magnoliopsida; Poales; Bromeliaceae.